This is a long non-coding RNA of Girardinichthys multiradiatus, 238 nucleotides long. RefSeq lists it as uncharacterized. The transcript has 3 exons. The record is from RefSeq and is a predicted model, not a curated record. NCBI's taxonomy places the organism in Eukaryota, Metazoa, Chordata, Actinopteri, Cyprinodontiformes, Goodeidae.
CUUAAGACCUGGAUCCUGAAUCUCAUUCCCCCUGGCGACCUGACCAUCAUAACCCAGAAUAGUCUUAGGAAUCUAAGGCGUAUGGAAGCAAGAUGAUUUCAAGAAGGCUGAUAGCUCGACCAGUAAACCACAUUGAAGAAGAGAAAGGAGAAAGGGAAGAGAGCUCGUGCAUAGAGAUCAACGCGUUUAGCAGCAGCAGGUAUGACGGGUUUUGGUGGUGGGGGUUUCUUGUUGGCUU